This 467-nucleotide ribosomal RNA is filed under the name uncultured bacterium. RNAcentral describes it as "partial 16S ribosomal RNA". It matches the Rfam family "Bacterial small subunit ribosomal RNA", at positions 28 to 507 of the family's 1533-position model. The record is from RNAcentral.
GACGAACGCUGGCGGCGUGCUUAACACAUGCAAGUCGAACGAUGACGACCGAGCUUGCUCGGUCUGAUUAGUGGCGAACGGGUGAGUAACACGUGAGCAACCUGCCCUUCACUCUGGGAUAACCUCGGGAAAUCGGGGCUAAUACCGGAUAUGAGCUCCUGUCGCAUGGUGGGUGUUGGAAAGUUUUUCGGUGAAGGAUGGGCUCGCGGCCUAUCAGUUUGUUGGUGAGGUAGUGGCUCACCAAGGCGAUGACGGGUAGCCGGCCUGAGAGGGCGACCGGCCACACUGGGACUGAGACACGGCCCAGACUCCUACGGGAGGCAGCAGUGGGGAAUAUUGCACAAUGGGCGAAAGCCUGAUGCAGCGACGCCGCGUGAGGGAUGACGGCCUUCGGGUUGUAAACCUCUUUCAGCAGGGAAGAAGCGAAAGUGACGGUACCUGCAGAAGAAGCGCCGGCUAACUACGUG